This 274-nucleotide unclassified non-coding RNA is filed under the name Glomeraceae sp. Its description in RNAcentral is "partial contains 5.8S ribosomal RNA and internal transcribed spacer 2". The stretch from base 1 to 71 matches the Rfam family "5.8S ribosomal RNA", at positions 84 to 154 of the family's 154-position model. The record is from RNAcentral. Lineage: Eukaryota; Fungi; Glomeromycota; Glomeromycetes; Glomerales; Glomeraceae.
GUGAAUCAUCAAAUUUUUGAACGCAUAUUGCACUUUCUGGUAUUCCGGAGAGUAUGCCUGUUUGAGAAUCAGUUAAAUAAAAAUCGCUUUUGUUUCUAAUUUUAGCAAUGAUGCAUCGGAAUAUAUUUGUCUUUACCUUUUUUGUUUAAAAUGACUUAAAAUUAUGUACGAUUUUUUGAACGUAUUUAAAUUUUUUACGUAUAUUCAUAACAUCAAAUAUAUUAGGUGCGAUCAUCCACAUGAUUUCGCUGCUAUACUUUGUCAUUAAUUGACC